This is a long non-coding RNA of Carassius carassius (crucian carp), 518 nucleotides long. RefSeq lists it as uncharacterized. The transcript is spliced from 2 exons. The record is from RefSeq and is a predicted model, not a curated record. NCBI's taxonomy places the organism in Eukaryota, Metazoa, Chordata, Actinopteri, Cypriniformes, Cyprinidae.
ACACUUUCUAGGCUGUAUAAACUUAAAGAAGUAAGUAUCAUGUUUCAUGUGCUUUUCCUAUGCAUACCGACACAAACGGCUGUGCACUCAUACAAAUGCAUGAAUGCAAUAACUGGAGAUUUUCACUUAAUGGAUUACUUUUUCAAUUUGUUUCUUGGCAAACCCUAUCCUGAUAGCACACGUUCUUCACGGAGAUGUAUUUUUUAUAUACGAAUAUGUAAACAAGCACAUUAACCCAGAGUUUAAGAAAGUAGUGCGAAACGUCGGCGUAUGAAUAACCAGGAUUAAUUGGUAAAUUAUGAGCAGUGUAAAACAUGAAGCAAGAUAACCCAGGGUUAACGAUUUCAAGUGUGAAAAGCCCACGAGUGUUCGCUUCAGCUGGGAAAGUUGAGCAGAAUUUUAGAGAUCACAAGUUUUUAUUUGUGCAUAUUUGUGGUAUACUGUACAAUCUGUUUGACACCAGUUUUCUCGCUCUCUUUUUCCUUUAAUUAAAUGGACAAUAAAUGCAUGAAACUCUU